GUGGGGAAUAUUGCGCAAUGGGGGAAACCCUGACGCAGCGACGCCGUGUGAGGGAAGAAGGCCUUCGGGUCGUAAACCUCUGUCAGAAGGGAAGAACCGCCGGGGUAUGAAUAAGACCCUGGCCUGACGGUACCUUCAGAGGAAGCGCCGGCUAACUCCGUGCCAGCAGCCGCGGUAAUACGGAGGGCGCGAGCGUUAAUCGGAAUUACUGGGCGUAAAGCGUGCGUAGGCUGUUUGGUAAGUCAGGCGUGAAAGCCCUCGGCUCAACCGGGGAACUGCGUUUGAUACUGCCGGACUCGAGUCCCGGAGAGGGUGGCGGAAUUCCUGGUGUAGGAGUGAAAUCCGUAGAUAUCAGGAGGAACACCGGUGGCGAAGGCGGCCACCUGGACGGGUACUGACGCUGAGGCACGAAAGCGUGGGGAGCAAACAGGAUUAGAAACCCUAGUAGUCC
This 451-nucleotide ribosomal RNA is filed under the name uncultured bacterium. RNAcentral describes it as "partial 16S ribosomal RNA". It matches the Rfam family "Bacterial small subunit ribosomal RNA", at positions 354 to 796 of the family's 1533-position model. The record is from RNAcentral.